UGGGGGAUAUUGCGCAAUGGGGGAAACCCUGACGCAGCAACGCCGCGUGAAGGAAGAAGGUCUUCGGAUUGUAAACUUUUGUCUUUGGGGAAGAAAAAAAUGACGGUACCCAAGGAGGAAGCCACGGCUAACUACGUGCCAGCAGCCGCGGUAAUACAUAGGUGGCAAGCGUUGUCCGGAUUUACUGGGUGUAAAGGGCGUGUAGACGGGACUUAAAGUCAGAUGUGAAAUACCGCAGCUCAACUGCGGGGCUGCAUUUGAAACUUAAGUUCUUGAGUGCAGGAGAGGAAAGCGGAAUUCCUAGUGUAGCGGGGAAAUGCGUAGAUAUUAGGAGGAACACCGGUGGCGAAGGCGGCUUUCUGGACUGUAACUGACGUUGAGGCGCGAAAGCGUGGGUAGCAAACA
Molecule: ribosomal RNA, 405 nt
Filed under: uncultured bacterium
Lineage: Bacteria
Description: bacterial SSU rRNA
Rfam family: Bacterial small subunit ribosomal RNA
Source: RNAcentral